RNAcentral lists this ribosomal RNA (428 nucleotides) under uncultured prokaryote. RNAcentral's name for it is "bacterial SSU rRNA". It matches the Rfam family "Bacterial small subunit ribosomal RNA", at positions 355 to 774 of the family's 1533-position model. The record is from RNAcentral.
UGAGGAAUUUUGCGCAAUGGGAGCAAUCCUGACGCAGCAACGCCGCGUGGGUGAUGAAGGCCUUCGGGUCGUAAAGCCCUGUCAGGUGGGAAGAAUGUCCCGGAACUGAACAGGUUUCGGGAGUGACGGUACCACCAGAGGAAGCACCGGCUAACUCCGUGCCAGCAGCCGCGGUAAUACGGAGGGUGCAGGCGUUAUUCGGAAUUACUGGGCGUAAAGCGCGUGUAGGCGGUCCUGCAAGUCUGCUGUGAAAGCCCCGGGCUUAACCCGGGAAGGGCAUUGGAAACUGCAGGUCUUGAGUACUGGAGAGGAUGGGGGAAUUCCCGGUGUAGAGGUGAAAUUCGUAGAGAUCGGGAGGAAUAUCAGUGGCGAAGGCGCCCAUCUGGACGGUAACUGACGCUGAGACGCGAAAGCGUGGGGAGCAAACA